Molecule: unclassified non-coding RNA, 188 nt
Filed under: plant metagenome
Description: partial contains small subunit ribosomal RNA and internal transcribed spacer 1
Rfam family: Eukaryotic small subunit ribosomal RNA (bases 1-46)
Source: RNAcentral
AAGUCAUAACAAGGUUUCCGUAGGUGAACCUGCGGAAGGAUCAUUAAUAGUGCCCUUGAUCGCAAUGUCAAUUGGGUUCAGUAGUUCUGCUCUCCUCGCAAGAGGAGGGUUUCCAUACACACCGUGAACUGUGGCUUCGGCCAUCACAAACUGUUAGUAAUGAAUGUAAAAUCAUAACAAAAACAAAA